GACGAACGCUGGCGGCGUGCCUAAUACAUGCAAGUAGGACGCAGUUGCGAACGGGUGAGUAACGCGUAGGUAACUGCCUAUUAGAGGGGGAUAACUAUUGGAAACGAUAGCUAAUACCGCAUACUAGUAGAUGGACCUGCGUUGUAUUAGCUAGUAGGUAGGGUAAUGGCCUACCUAGGCGACGAUACAUAGCCGACCUGAUGGGGUGAUCGGCCACCCUGGGACUGGAACACGGCCCAGACUCCUUACGGAGGCAACAGUAGGGGAACUUCGGAAAUGGGGGGAACCCUUACCGAGCAACGCCGCGUGAGUGGAGGAAGGUUUCGGAUCGUAAAACUCUGUUGUUAAGGAAGCGGUACUUAACCAGAAAGGGACGGCUAACUACGUGCCAGCAGCCGCGGUAAUUC
This 407-nucleotide ribosomal RNA is filed under the name uncultured bacterium. Its description in RNAcentral is "partial 16S ribosomal RNA". It matches the Rfam family "Bacterial small subunit ribosomal RNA", at positions 28 to 526 of the family's 1533-position model. The record is from RNAcentral.